GCUUGUCUCAAAGAUUAAGCCAUGCAUGUCUCAGUACUUGCUUUUACAAGGCGAAACCGCGAAUGGCUCAUUAAAUCAGUUAUGGUUCACUAGAUCGUACAGUUUACAUGGAUAACUGUGGUAAUUCUAGAGCUAAUACAUGCAUUCAGCUCGCUCUCUCGGGAGCGAGCGCAGUUAUUAGAAUAAAACCAAUCCGGCCUUCGGGUCGGUAAAAUUGGUGACUCUGAAUAACCGAAGCGGAGCGCAUGGUCUCGUACCGGCGCCAGAUCUUUCAAGUGUCUGACUUAUCAGCUCGUAGGUAGGUUAUGUGCCUACCUAGGCUCCAACGGGUAACGGGGUGUCAGGGCCCGACACCGGAGAGGGAGCCUGAGAAACGGCUACCACAUCCAAGGAAGGCAGCAGG
RNAcentral lists this ribosomal RNA (403 nucleotides) under Ramazzottius oberhaeuseri. Its description in RNAcentral is "partial small subunit ribosomal RNA". It matches the Rfam family "Eukaryotic small subunit ribosomal RNA", at positions 30 to 432 of the family's 1831-position model. The record is from RNAcentral. Lineage: Eukaryota; Metazoa; Tardigrada; Eutardigrada; Parachela; Ramazzottiidae.